This 146-nucleotide signal recognition particle RNA is filed under the name Chloroflexota bacterium. Its description in RNAcentral is "Chloroflexi bacterium partial signal recognition particle sRNA large type". It matches the Rfam family "Bacterial large signal recognition particle RNA", at positions 1 to 144 of the family's 256-position model. From Rfam's summary of the family: The signal recognition particle (SRP) is a universally conserved ribonucleoprotein involved in the co-translational targeting of proteins to membranes. Lineage: Bacteria; Bacillati; Chloroflexota. The record is from RNAcentral.
UCGUGCUAGACGGGGAGCUAGCGGUGCCCUCUACCCGCAAUCCGCUCUAGCGGGGUUGAACUCCUGAGUUGAGGCCGGCGACAUGAGACCUACCGACGCCAAGCAGUGAAGAAGCCUGGGUCCCGCGCGGCGGCCCGCCGUGAACC